RNAcentral lists this ribosomal RNA (531 nucleotides) under uncultured bacterium. RNAcentral describes it as "bacterial SSU rRNA". It matches the Rfam family "Bacterial small subunit ribosomal RNA", at positions 162 to 688 of the family's 1533-position model. The record is from RNAcentral.
AUUAAUACCGCAUACGCCCUGAGGGGGAAAGUGGGGGACCGUAAGGCCUCACGUUAUACGAGCAGCCGAUGUCUGAUUAGCUAGUUGGUGGGGUAAAGGCUCACCAAGGCAACGAUCAGUAGCGGGUCUGAGAGGAUGAUCCGCCACACUGGGACUGAGACACGGCCCAGACUCCUACGGGAGGCAGCAGUGGGGAAUUUUGGACAGUGGGCGCAAGCCUGAUCCAGCCAUGCCGCGUGUUGAAGGAAGGCCUUCGGGUUGUAAAGGACUUUUGUCCGGGAGCAAAUCCCAGUGGUUAAUACCUACUGGGGCUGAGAGUACCGGAAGAAUAAGCACCGGCUAAAAAAGUGCCAGCAGCCGCGGUAAUAUGUAGGGUGCGAGCGUUAAUCGGAAUUACUGGGCGUAAAGCGUGCGCAGGCGGUUGUGCAAGUCUGAUGUGAAAGCCCCGGGCUUAACCUGGGAACGGCAUUGGAGACUGCACGACUAGAGUGCGUCAGAGGGGGGUAGAAUUCCGCGUGUAGCAGUGAAAUG